UAACAAGCAUUGAGGAAGAAUAGUAACUUUAUGAAAUGCUCUAGAGAGCUGAUGGUUGGUGCAAAUCAGUGCAUGACAUUUAGUGAAUGGGCUUCUGAGCUCCAAAGCUGAACAAUUAGUAGGCUUUGGCGUAUGUCUACGUUACAGGACUUGCAAUAUAUUACUUGCAGUUAAGUGGAUUACAAUAGUAAUCAAAAAAGGUGGCACCACGGCUCUCCGUCCUUUGU
RNAcentral lists this non-coding RNA (227 nucleotides) under Psychrobacillus sp. RNAcentral describes it as "T-box sequence". It matches the Rfam family "T-box leader". From Rfam's summary of the family: Uncharged tRNA acts as the effector for transcription antitermination of genes in the T-box leader family. T-boxes are found upstream of many aminoacyl-tRNA synthetase genes and some amino acid biosynthetic genes usually in Gram-positive bacteria. The anticodon of a specific tRNA base pairs to a specifier sequence within the T-box motif, and the NCCA acceptor tail of the tRNA base pairs to a conserved bulge in the T-box antiterminator hairpin. The record is from RNAcentral. Lineage: Bacteria; Bacillati; Bacillota; Bacilli; Caryophanales; Bacillaceae.